UUAUCAAGACGAAACUGGUUUUCACAGUGAUUUGACAGAUAUAUUUAAUUUCUGAGAUCAUUGUGAAAGCUGAUUUUGUUCC
RNAcentral lists this microRNA precursor (82 nucleotides) under Oryctes borbonicus. RNAcentral's name for it is "bantam microRNA precursor family". It matches the Rfam family "bantam microRNA precursor family". Lineage: Eukaryota; Metazoa; Arthropoda; Insecta; Coleoptera; Scarabaeidae. The record is from Rfam by way of RNAcentral.